GGGGAUAAUUGUAGGACUUACUGUGAAUUUGUAAUACAGCCAGUCUUGCAUUUAUUCCACU
This 61-nucleotide microRNA precursor is filed under the name Acyrthosiphon pisum (pea aphid). Its description in RNAcentral is "microRNA api-mir-3027 precursor". The record is from miRBase by way of RNAcentral. Lineage: Eukaryota; Metazoa; Arthropoda; Insecta; Hemiptera; Aphididae.